CAAGAAGUGAUAUUAAUUGUUUCAUUCUAAACGCCACAACAACGGGAUAAAACGGCGCCACGCGGCAAAACUACGGGGAAACAAAAAUACUAAAGAUACGAUGAAAUAUGAUCGAAAAAAAAAGCACGAAAGCAGUUUCAUGGUAAAACACAAGACACCACUCUAAAGAAGGCAAGGCAAAGGAAGGGGUGAGAGAGGACAGCUCUCAGGAGAAAAUGAAGGUUGAACAACGCAAAGCACGAAGUGAAGGGGAUAGUGAUGGACAGGAAACAAGCAGCCAGCGAGUCAAGGCCGCAGGAUGGACUAUGGGAUGAGGAGGAGAAGGGUUGGUGGACGAGGCAGUGGAUGUAGUGUGCAGUGGAGAGUGAGCGUGGGACAUGAGGAAAUAAGCAGUGCAGGGUGGAGGGUGACGCAGUGUGGAUUAGUGGAGGAGAGCAGGCAGGCACGGGAUGAGGAAGGAAAGGCUUCCGAAUCGCCACACGCACGCCCGCUCAGGUCCCGCAGCCUCGCCCUCCUUGUGAACCCUGUGAACUCCGUGGCUUCAGAGAAAAUGGGCCUCUGCCGCCGGGCGUCAACUGAGUCAAGGGAUGACUGAGUUAGUAGCGCGGUGGCGGGCUCCUCCCCUCACACCGCAGCGGGAUGCCUGGAACACAAGCCCCGCACAGCUCUCCACGCACCGGCUCGUUAGCACCACACUAAACCAACCCAGAACCUGACCCUGAAAAUUGACCUUUCACUCUUCCCUCUCCCAAUAUUUUAUUUCUUCCUCUCAUUUGUUCUUCCCUUCCAUUCUCCCACUCUGCUCUUCUUCGCUCUUCCUUUUUUUAAAUCUUGACAUUUGAAUUCCUCUUGCCUGCUCGAGUGAAGCGAAUGGGGAUUUGCUUCGUUCAGGGUUCAAGUACUAUGGGGUUGUACCAUUGCCAACAAAAUCUUUUUCGCUGUGAUUUCAUCAAGAGAUCUCAAAUUUUCCGUGGUAUUAUUCAUUCCAGCUUAGGCUCCAGCACACUUGAACACUGUAUGGUUUGAGUGCUAGACAAAUGUUGCCAUCUCUUUAUUUGCUUGCGUCUAUAGUUUUUGAUCAGCAGGAAGCAGAAAGCAAAAGUAAAUGAGUGAAAAAUGAGAAAAGAUAUCUUUCCUUGAUCAGAACGACUUAAUAUGUUUUCUUCCCCAAGACCUCUAACCGAACCCUAUAAACACUGACGAAACAUACUGCUAAUAAAAAUAGAAAAAGCAGCGUUGCAGCACGUCCUGAGAGCAAGACAGAUCCUGGAGGGCUGGACUCGACUGGACUCAGCUCUCUAGACGUCUCUUACUCCUCAACAAAGCGAGGCGAGGCGACCAGCGGGGUUCAUAUACCCGACCCCGCCAUUCAGUGGAAAGCCUCCUGAUCCGUUCUGACCGCCACACGCACUUGCACCGGCUAAGGCAAAACAAUAAAUGGAAGCAAAAAGGAAGACGAUGCUGCUGCUAAACUCAGGAUGAAACUGACCGCACAGAUAUACUUUACUUCCCACGACCUGCACACAUUUCUAAAAGGCAAGGCAAGGGAAGGUGAACUGAAGCGAAAAGAUGAAAAUAAGUAAAGGGAGAAGAGUGUAUGAUAUUAUUAUUAUUAUUUUUUUUUCAGAGAUGGACUUUUCGUUAUUGUUUUCUUCCUUAGGCAUGAGUGUUCAAUUAUAGAUACAUUUAUAAAAGGUAAGGGAACAAGAGGUGGAGUAAAGCAGAAAGAUGAUAAUAAGUAAAAGAGAAAGAUGCUAUUUUCUUCUAAGAUGCACUUUUGUUAUUUUUUUUCCUUAGACACAAUAAGCACUUGUUUUUAGGUACAUUUCGAAACAGAAUAGGAGUGAAGCGAAAAAUUAAAAUGAGACAAGGGAGGACGGUAUAUUUCUGUUUAUAUUUUCUAACCCAGACAUGUGCAAUUUUUUUUUUAGAUAAACU
Long non-coding RNA from Scylla paramamosain (green mud crab), 1938 nucleotides. RefSeq lists it as uncharacterized. The record is from RefSeq and is a predicted model, not a curated record. Lineage: Eukaryota; Metazoa; Arthropoda; Malacostraca; Decapoda; Portunidae. The transcript is spliced from 3 exons.